RNAcentral lists this ribosomal RNA (608 nucleotides) under uncultured bacterium. RNAcentral's name for it is "bacterial SSU rRNA". It matches the Rfam family "Bacterial small subunit ribosomal RNA", at positions 48 to 669 of the family's 1533-position model. The record is from RNAcentral.
CGAACGAAGCAUUUACACGGAUUUCCUUCGGGGAUGAAGGGUUUAUGACUGAGUGGCGGACGGGUGAGUAACGCGUGGGCAACCUGCCCCGUAUCGGGGGACAACAGCCGGAAACGGCUGCUAAUACCGUAUACGUUUUAAGGACCGCAUGGUCCUUAAAACAAAACUCCGGUGGUACGGGAUGGGCCCGCGUCUGAUUAGCUCGUUGGCGGGGUAACGGCCCACCAAGGCGACGAUCAGUAGCCGGCCUGAGAGGGCGGCCGGCCACAUUGGGACUGAGACACGGCCCAGACUCCUGCGGGAGGCAGCAGUGGAGAAUAUUGCACAAUGGGGGAAACCCUGAUGCAGCGACGCCGCGUGAGCGAGGAAGUACCUCGGUAUGUAAAGCUCUGUCAGCAGGGAAGAAAAUGACAGUACCUGACCAAGAAGCCCCGGCUAACUACGUGCCAGCAGCCGCGGUAAUACGUAGGGGGCAAGCGUUAUCCGGAUUCACUGGGCGUAAAGGGAGCGCAGGCGGCACGGCAAGUCUGAUGUGAAAACCCGGGGCUCAACCCCGGGACUGCAUUGGAAACUGCCGGGCUGGAGUGUCGGAGGGGUAAGCGGAAUUC